UACGUAGGGUGCAAGCGUUAAUCGGAAUUACUGGGCGUAAAGCGUGCGCAGGCGGUUUGGUAAGACAGAUGUGAAAUCCCUGGGCUCAACCUAGGAAUUGCAUUUGUGACUGCCCGGCUAGAGUGUGUCAGAGGGGGGGUAGAAUUCCACGUGUAGCAGUGAAAUGCGUAGAGAUGUGGAGGAAUACCGAUGGCGAAGGCAGCCCCCUGGGAUAACACUGACGCUCAUGCACGAAAGCGUGGGGAGCAAACAGG
RNAcentral lists this ribosomal RNA (254 nucleotides) under uncultured bacterium. RNAcentral describes it as "partial 16S ribosomal RNA". It matches the Rfam family "Bacterial small subunit ribosomal RNA", at positions 524 to 776 of the family's 1533-position model. The record is from RNAcentral.